Molecule: ribosomal RNA, 253 nt
Filed under: uncultured bacterium
Lineage: Bacteria
Description: partial 16S ribosomal RNA
Rfam family: Bacterial small subunit ribosomal RNA
Source: RNAcentral
UACGGAGGGUGCGAGCGUUAUCCGGAAUUACUGGGUUUAAAGGGUGCGUAGGCGGCCAGGUAAGUCGGGUGUGAAAGUUUGCGGCUCAACCGUAAAAUUGCUUUUGAUACUGCCAGGCUAGAAUUAGGAUGAGGUCAGCGGAAUGUGGCAUGUAGCGGUGAAAUGCAUAGAUAUGCCAUAGAACACCAAUUGCGAAGGCAGCUGGCUAGACCUGGAUUGACGCUGAGGCACGAAAGCGUGGGGAGCGAACAGG